This is a long non-coding RNA of Cucumis sativus (cucumber), 779 nucleotides long. RefSeq lists it as uncharacterized. The transcript has 4 exons. The record is from RefSeq and is a predicted model, not a curated record. Lineage: Eukaryota; Viridiplantae; Streptophyta; Magnoliopsida; Cucurbitales; Cucurbitaceae.
UCUCCUCCUUCUCCUGCUUCUCCUGUUCCUCCUACUCCUCCUGCUCCUCCUUCUGCUGCUCCUUCUUCUUCUCCUCUUCUCCUCUGCUCCUCUUCUGCUUCUGCUGCUUCUUCUGCUUCUUCUUUGUGGAAGAUCCAUGCAUCGCCCCUCCUUGAUUUUUCUUCCUUUUCGCUAACCAUCUCUCUCCCUCUCUCACGCACGUCGGGAAUGACGAGACUUUUCGUCAAUGACACGUUCGAAAUCCCUCUCUUUCUCUCCUUCAGCCGACGCCACCACCCAAUACCCCUUAUUUCUAUUGUUUGAAAUCAAGGCCAGGGAAUAUUUCAUGGCUAUGGGCUGAAGCUUUGAGAAAAAGAGAAUGAAAAAUGAAAUGUGUUGGAACGGUGGAGAAGUGCAAAUGCAGUAUGCUUUGAUGUUGAUAACACAAUUUGGCUUUAUUGACAAUCAUUGAGGUGACCUUGCUAGUUGUCAAUAUCUAAGAGAAGAGGAAGGGCUGACCGUGUUCAACCAGGAGAAUGCUACUGUCUAUACAUAGGUUUAUUGAUACUUUCAAUAUUUCUUUCUUAAUGGUUUUGAUUGAACCUUCUAUAUAAAACCAAUUUUCACUAAUGCAACAAAUUGUUUCCUUAUGCUUCAUUUAUUUUAAAUCAAACUAUCAUCGUGUAAUUUUUUUUCUUUCUUUCUCUGUUUUGUUCAUAUUCUUGGUAUACUAUAUUUCAAUUUUGUUUGUGUAUUUGGUACAUUGUGUUAUGGUAUAUCGACUGAAGACAUAUGUUCUA